RNAcentral lists this ribosomal RNA (492 nucleotides) under uncultured bacterium. RNAcentral's name for it is "bacterial SSU rRNA". It matches the Rfam family "Bacterial small subunit ribosomal RNA", at positions 1 to 507 of the family's 1533-position model. The record is from RNAcentral.
ACGUAGUUUGAUCCGUGGCUACGAGGACGAACGCUGGCGGCGUGCUUAACACAUGCAAGUCGAGCGGGGAUAUUGGCUUCGGCUGAUAUUCUAGCGGCGACGGGUGAGUAACGCGUGAACAAUCUGUCCCAGACAGGGGGAUAACACUUGGAAACAGGUGCUAAUACCGCAUAAGACCACGAUCUCGCAUGGGAUUGAGGUAAAAGGAGCAAUCCGGUUUGGGGUGAGUUCGCGUCCGAUUAGCUAGUUGGUGAGGUAAACGGCCCACCAAGGCGACGAUCGGUAGCCGACCUGAGAGGGUGAUCGGCCACAUUGGAACUGAGACACGGUCCAAACUCCUACGGGAGGCAGCAGUGGGGAAUAUUGGGCAAUGGGCGAAGGCCUGACCCAGCAACGCCGCGUGAGGGAAGAAGGUUCUCGGAUUGUAAACCUCUGUCCUUGGUGACGAAGGAAGUGACGGUAGCCAAGGAGGAAGCCCCGGCUAACUACGUG